CUCAACACUGUCCCACCCAGAUGGCUCCAAGAGGCCGCUGUCAGUCUCUCCCACCGCACACAUCGCCGCAAUUUCUCCUGUGACCCCCGCCAGACUGCCAGCACCCAGAGGACGCUCAGAGCUCCCUCGGAAUCAUUCUUUACUCCUUCCCCAUCCCGGCAGUAACACGGAACCGCAUUCCGGUUCCAGACGCCCUUUGAAGUCUUGCCUCUCCCCAGGCCAAGGAGUGCCGCUUGACAAAGCCCUAGGGUUCCAGCCUGGUCCUGCUGAGGGAGCCGUGAGACCAGUCAGCCUGGGGUGCUGGUUUUCCCAACGGGUACUCCCUGAGCUAUCAGCCUUCCAGAGGGGCUCCUAGGAGGGGGAAGCCCCAUCCUCUGACUGAAGCGGUCCUAUGAGGCCCUGUUCAACCCCAGGGUUCAAAGGACACACCCUAGAUGAGCCAUCCCCCAGGAUGACGCCACCUCUGAGAUCUUGGUCUCCUGGCUCCGUCUCUGACCACAACCCAAGAAUGGGGUGAGGGCACAGGGUGUGGACUCAACUACAGGAGGGCUUCCUGUUCAUGCAACGUCCCCAGAGCCUUGACGAAUGCACAGAGGCGCUGGCAGAACCACGGGGGCAGGACCCCUCUCUGAGUCACAGAAUGGAGCUAAGUUGGUGAGGUCACCCAGGUAACAUCCCAAGCACAGGGUGCCACACCUGUGCAGCCACAGCAGCCUCCUGACCUCCCCAGAGCCGUGUCUAGAACCCAUUUUUGCCCUGUUGGCCAGCCUUCCUCCUUCCUCCUCCUCCCAUCAUCCUAUCUUCACUGCCUCCAGACCUCAUCUCAGCACAUUCUCACACUCCCGACCCCCUCUGCAGCCGCCACUGCCCCACUGAUGCCUGAGCCAGGGGCAGGGGCAGACCUGCCCGGCCUGGCCUCCAGCCUGGUGGACCAUCACCUGUGCAAACUCCGAACACCUCCUCCAGGUGCUCUGGCUGGCUUUCCCUGGUGUCCAGUAGCCGCCUCCUGAGACCCCUAAUGCCAGCCUCACAGUCUCAGCAACC
Molecule: long non-coding RNA, 1044 nt
Filed under: Homo sapiens (human)
Lineage: Eukaryota; Metazoa; Chordata; Mammalia; Primates; Hominidae
Description: non-protein coding lnc-FAM71E2-1:6
Source: RNAcentral